Molecule: ribosomal RNA, 252 nt
Filed under: uncultured bacterium
Lineage: Bacteria
Description: partial 16S ribosomal RNA
Rfam family: Bacterial small subunit ribosomal RNA
Source: RNAcentral
UACGUAGGGUGCUAGCGUUAUCCGGAUUUACUGGGCGUAAAGGGUGCGUAGGUGGUCUUUCAAGUCGGUGGUUAAAGGCUACGGCUCAACCGUAUUAAGCCGCCGAAACUAUAAAACUUGAGUAGAUGAGGGGCAAGUGGAAUUCCUAGUGUAGCGGUGAAAUGCUUAGAUAUUAGGAGGAAUACCAGUGGCGAAGGCGACUUGCUGGAAUCUAACUGACGCUGAGGUACGAAAGCGUGGGGAGCAAACAGG